UGGGGAAUAGUGGACAAUGGGGGGAACCCUGAUCCAGCCAUGCCGCGGGUGUGAAGAAGGCCUUAUGGUUGUAAAGCACUUUAAGCGAGGAGGAGGGUACUGGGAUGAAUAGUACCAGGUACUGGACGUUACGCGCAGAAUAAGCACAGGCUAAGUCGGUGCCAGCAGCCGCGGUAAUACAGAGGGGGCGAGCGUUAAUCGGAUUUACUGGGCGUAAAGCGUGCGUAGGCGGCUAAUUGAGUCGGAUGUGAAAUCCCCGAGCUUAACUUCGGAAUUGCAUUCGAUACUGGUUAGCUAGAGUGUGGGAGAGGAUGGUAGAAUUCCAGGUGUAGCGGUGAAAUGCGUAGAGAUCUGGAGGAAUACCGAUGGCGAAGGCAGCCAUCUGGCCUAACACUGACGCUGAGGUACGAAAGCAUGGGGAGCAAACAGG
This 430-nucleotide ribosomal RNA is filed under the name Pseudomonadota bacterium. Its description in RNAcentral is "Proteobacteria bacterium partial 16S ribosomal RNA". It matches the Rfam family "Bacterial small subunit ribosomal RNA", at positions 355 to 776 of the family's 1533-position model. Lineage: Bacteria; Pseudomonadati; Pseudomonadota. The record is from RNAcentral.